This 274-nucleotide ribosomal RNA is filed under the name uncultured bacterium. RNAcentral describes it as "partial 16S ribosomal RNA". It matches the Rfam family "Bacterial small subunit ribosomal RNA", at positions 523 to 796 of the family's 1533-position model. The record is from RNAcentral.
AUACGGAGGGUGCAAGCGUUGUCCGGAUUUAUUGGGUUUAAAGGGUGUGUAGGCGGUGUAUUAAGUCAGUGGUGAAAGCCUGCGGCUCAACCGUAGAACUGCCAUUAAUACUGACACACUUGAGUAUGGACGAGGUAGGCGGAAUUUAUGGUGUAGCGGUGAAAUGCAUAGAUACCAUAAAGAACACCGAUAGCGAAGGCAGCUUACUAGGCCAUAACUGACGCUGAGGCACGAAAGCGUGGGGAGCGAACAGGAUUAGAAACCCCAGUAGUCC